UAGCAAGUUCAGCCUUCCCAGGUCUAGUU
This 29-nucleotide non-coding RNA is filed under the name Macaca fascicularis (crab-eating macaque). RNAcentral also lists the same sequence under 1 other name. The record is from RNAcentral. Lineage: Eukaryota; Metazoa; Chordata; Mammalia; Primates; Cercopithecidae.